UAGAUGCGUAGGACGUAUCUGGGCGUCGA
Molecule: small RNA, 29 nt
Filed under: Bombyx mori (domestic silkworm)
Lineage: Eukaryota; Metazoa; Arthropoda; Insecta; Lepidoptera; Bombycidae
Description: ovarian small RNA-22139
Source: RNAcentral